UACGUAGGGCGCAAGCGUUGUCCGGAAUUAUUGGGCGUAAAGAGCUCGUAGGCGGCCAUGCGUGUCUUCCGUGAAAUCCCUCGGCUUAACUGAGGACGUGCGGAAGAAACUGCAAGGCUUGAGUCCGGGAGAGGGGGGUGGAAUUCCCAGUGUAGCGGUGAAAUGCGUAGAUAUUGGGAGGAACACCAGUGGCGAAGGCGGCUCACUGGCCCGGUACUGACGCUGAGGUGCGAAAGCGUGGGGAGCAAACAGG
RNAcentral lists this ribosomal RNA (253 nucleotides) under uncultured bacterium. RNAcentral describes it as "partial 16S ribosomal RNA". It matches the Rfam family "Bacterial small subunit ribosomal RNA", at positions 524 to 776 of the family's 1533-position model. The record is from RNAcentral.